Homo sapiens (human) is the source of this 714-nucleotide long non-coding RNA. Ensembl annotates it as long intergenic non-protein coding RNA 2684. The record is from Ensembl. NCBI's taxonomy places the organism in Eukaryota, Metazoa, Chordata, Mammalia, Primates, Hominidae.
CCCUACGCCACCUCCUGGCAGCUAAGGACACUGCAGGGCCCUCUUGCUCCCGGUGUGACGGCUGGCGUCCCCUACUGGCCACCUCCCGAACAAACUCGGGGCGCCAGUUAUUAAGCCCCAUCAGUUCUGUAAAUUCAAACUGAAACGGAGCUAUUACUGGGGAGACCUGAUGUCCCAAUUCUUAACUUGGAGGAAAGAUUUUCACUUUCCUCCAAGAAACACUCUCUAAGAACACAGCACUCAGAAAAGCCAGCCUGAUACCUAGAUUACACGGUUCACAGCCUUACAGUAAGAAGAAACUAAGUCUUAGCGAUAACCAAGUGGCAGACGUGGCAGAAGAAAAAUUUGAAACCAGGGCCACAUUGAGCCUGCAGGCAUGUCUGGCCUGUUCUGAGGACAGACAUUUCAAGCACAGAGAGGCACAGGAGCACUGUUUGAGCCUGGAGCUUAAAUCGCGAAUCCAGAGAGCCCUCUCUGAGCAUGCGUUGUGCCCAGAGUUGGUUUCAUGUGGAUCAACUCAGGCUUCUAUGGCAGGGCCACAGACAGGGUCCACAGAAGUGGUUUCUGCCAAUCUUUGAAGAGUCCUGAUCUUAUAUAAUCAAAGAAGCUUCAAGUCUGGAAGAGAGAGGCAAAAGGUGAGAGUCAGGAGAAUCUGAAGAUGCUACACUGCUGGCUUUGAAGAUGAGGAUGGGUCAUGAGCCUAAUAAAAAAGGU